This 77-nucleotide small RNA is filed under the name Flavobacterium circumlabens. RNAcentral's name for it is "Flavo-1 RNA". It matches the Rfam family "Flavo-1 RNA". The record is from RNAcentral. Lineage: Bacteria; Pseudomonadati; Bacteroidota; Flavobacteriia; Flavobacteriales; Flavobacteriaceae.
CCAUAGCCCCGAUGGAAGUGGAAAUCCUUUUGUCCGCCGCGGCGGACAAAAGAUUGGAACGGACAGCGGGAUUAAGC